RNAcentral lists this ribosomal RNA (254 nucleotides) under uncultured bacterium. RNAcentral describes it as "partial 16S ribosomal RNA". It matches the Rfam family "Bacterial small subunit ribosomal RNA", at positions 524 to 776 of the family's 1533-position model. The record is from RNAcentral.
UACGUAGGGGGCGAGCGUUGUCCGGAUUUAUUGGGCGUAAAGAGCUCGUAGGCGGUUCGAUAAGUCGGACGUGAAAUCUCCACGCUCAACGUGGAGGGGCCGUUCGAUACUGUCGUGACUCGAGUCCGGUAGGGGAGUGUGGAAUUCCCGGUGUAGCGGUGAAAUGCGCAGAGAUCGGGAGGAACACCCGUAGCGAAGGCGGCACUCUGGGCCGGUCCUGACGCUGAGGAGCGAAAGCGUGGGGAGCAAACAGG